This 233-nucleotide ribosomal RNA is filed under the name uncultured bacterium. Its description in RNAcentral is "partial 16S ribosomal RNA". It matches the Rfam family "Bacterial small subunit ribosomal RNA", at positions 794 to 1026 of the family's 1533-position model. The record is from RNAcentral.
UCCUAGCCGUAAACGAUGGAUGCUUGGUGUUGGGGAGUAAAUCCUCAGUGCCGGAGCUAACGCGUUAAGCAUCCCACCUGGGGAGUACGGCCGCAAGGUUGAAACUCAAAGGAAUUGACGGGGGCCCGCACAAGCAGCGAGGCAUGUGGUUUAAUUCGAUGCUACACGAAGAACCUUACCUGGGCUUGACAUGCACGAGAAAGCCGGAAGAAACUCCGGCCCUUUCACCGAGC